RNAcentral lists this ribosomal RNA (479 nucleotides) under Enterobacter hormaechei. RNAcentral describes it as "bacterial SSU rRNA". It matches the Rfam family "Bacterial small subunit ribosomal RNA", at positions 30 to 495 of the family's 1533-position model. Lineage: Bacteria; Pseudomonadati; Pseudomonadota; Gammaproteobacteria; Enterobacterales; Enterobacteriaceae. The record is from RNAcentral.
AUUGAACGCUGGCGGCAGGCCUAACACAUGCAAGUCGAACGGUAACAGGAAGCAGCUUGCUGCUUUGCUGACGAGUGGCGGACGGGUGAGUAAUGUCUGGGAAACUGCCUGAUGGAGGGGGAUAACUACUGGAAACGGUAGCUAAUACCGCAUAACGUCGCAAGACCAAAGAGGGGGACCUUCGGGCCUCUUGCCAUCGGAUGUGCCCAGAUGGGAUUAGCUAGUAGGUGGGGUAACGGCUCACCUAGGCGACGAUCCCUAGCUGGUCUGAGAGGAUGACCAGCCACACUGGAACUGAGACACGGUCCAGACUCCUACGGGAGGCAGCAGUGGGGAAUAUUGCACAAUGGGCGCAAGCCUGAUGCAGCCAUGCCGCGUGUAUGAAGAAGGCCUUCGGGUUGUAAAGUACUUUCAGCGGGGAGGAAGGCGAUAAGGUUAAUAACCUUGUCGAUUGACGUUACCCCGCAGAAGAAGCACCG